AUUGAACGCUGGCGGCAUGCCUAACACAUGCAAGUCGAACGAGUGGCGGACGGGUGAGUAAUGUAGUGGCAACUGCCUGAUGUAGGGGGAUACCUACUGGAAACGUUAGCUAAUACCGCAUACCGUCGGAUGUGCCCAGAUGGGAUUAGCUAGUAGGUGAGGUAAAGGCUCACCGAGGCGACGAUCCCUAGCUGGCCUGAGAGGCUGACCAGCCACACUGGAACUGAGACACGGUCCAGACUCCUACGGGAGGCAGCAGUGGGGAAUAUUGCACAAUGGGCGCAAGUCUGACGCAGCAACGCCGCGUGUAUGAAGAAGGUUUUCGGGUUGUAAAGUACUGUCGGCGGGGAGGCGGUACCCAACGAAGAAGCACCGGCUAACUCCGUGCCAGCAGCCGCGGUAAUUC
RNAcentral lists this ribosomal RNA (406 nucleotides) under uncultured bacterium. RNAcentral describes it as "partial 16S ribosomal RNA". It matches the Rfam family "Bacterial small subunit ribosomal RNA", at positions 30 to 526 of the family's 1533-position model. The record is from RNAcentral.